Molecule: long non-coding RNA, 1142 nt
Organism: Arabidopsis lyrata subsp. lyrata
Lineage: Eukaryota; Viridiplantae; Streptophyta; Magnoliopsida; Brassicales; Brassicaceae
Exons: 4
Source: RefSeq, a predicted model, not a curated record
AUGUUGUUAAUUAAACAACUCGUACAGAUUUUCCAAGAAAAGGAAAAAUCAAAACGAUUCGAAGAAGUAGAAUGUAGAAGACGUUUACCCGCUUGAGGUCAGGGCCGGCUAUGUUUUGACGCAUCAUCACCUCCGAUUCUCCUACCUGUAUCUCAGGUUAUUUGUUAGCUCGAAUCUCAUGAAGGAGAUGGUUCUAUUCUCUUAUCCACAUCUCCGGUUGGUGUUAUAGAGACUUAAGAGUUUAUGUGAUAGGAACCAAGGGGUCCAUAAUGAAUCAGCAACAAUGGCUACAGAAGUAGAGUUAUAGAAAUUGUCAAGGAGAAUAGCUCAUUCUUGAAGUGGACUUCAAAUGGCAAAUAAAUUGCACAGAUGGCUGACGACGUAAGCUGUUUUUUGUUUGUGGAAUCUUUCUAUUUUUGGUCAUUUUUCAUACAUAUAUCCGAUGAGAACUAUCUACUCUUCUAGAUUUUAGUCAUAUAAUUAAACUGGCUUCUAUGUUUUCGAGGGAUCUCUCAAUGGAGUUCAUAUAUGAGAAGAGAUGUGUAGGCCAACCGCAGAGACGAAAUUUUCAUCUUUACAGACGUGCCUAAGGUGUUGUGCCAUCAUCGAUACCUAUUAGCCACUUCGCAAAAUCUUUUUCCGCUUGGUCCAGCCUCAUAUUUUUCUCGAGAGUGAAUAUAGAGCAAUAAUUCCAUAAAUAUGAACGGUUGAUUGUUGCCAUAACAGUUUCUUGUCUGGUGCCUUUUGGUAUGACUGGCAGAAUUUGUCUAAAAUCACCACCAAGAAGCACCGUUUUUCCGCCAAAGGGUUUGCUUGCUGCAUCUAGAUCAGCUACUGAGAGUACAUCUCUCAAACUCUUAUCAAGAGCUUCAAACGCAAAUCGAUGGCACAUAGGCGCUUCAUCCCAAAUGAUGAGAUCUGUUUUUUACUACCGUUCGACGAUAGGAACGCUUUUUGUUAAGCUGAUCUAUUGUUAUGUAAUCUUUGUUAGUAUGUUGAACUUGUGUCUUCAUCUUUUGUUUGAUGAUAGCUAUUCUGAAAAUUUUAAAAAGAAGUAAAAAGUAAUUUAGUUUAAGUAACAACCAAAACCAAUAUGUUUGUAACACGUGAAAACAUAAUAUUAGUUACGUAAAGUUAAUGUA